This 435-nucleotide ribosomal RNA is filed under the name Triticum aestivum (bread wheat). Its description in RNAcentral is "partial small subunit ribosomal RNA". The record is from RNAcentral. Lineage: Eukaryota; Viridiplantae; Streptophyta; Magnoliopsida; Poales; Poaceae.
AUGAGGAGGUUUUUGGUUAGCAGAGCAAGCACUAAAAAUAUGAAUGAUGUGCAACUAGAAAUAGAAGUGGAGGAACAACCACCUCCCAACAUUGCCAAUGAAUUUAAUCCAAAUGAAAUUGAGCGUGAUCCAGGAAAGAGGAAACAAAUUUGCGAGUAUCCUCCUAAUAUAAAGGAUCAAGGGAGAAGAUCAUAUGUAUUGAUGGGUCCAAUGCAACCAGAUUUGAAUAAAUUUCCUUGUACUGAAUUUGGAAGUUCACGUUCAUCAAGAGCAUUUUCCAAAUCUUGGUACAAAAAACAUUCAUGGAUCGAAUACAGUGAGUGGAAGAAGGGAGUGUAUUUUUAUUGCUUUCUCUUUAAGCAACCUAGAAGGGCUGAGCACUUUGGUUAUGAUGUAUUCACCAAGGAAGGAUUUAUAGAUUGGAAGCAUGCAUAA